GCGGGAAUAGCUCAGUUGGUAGAGCACGACCUUGCCAAGGUCGGGGUCGCGAGUUCGAGUCUCGUUUCCCGCA
RNAcentral lists this transfer RNA (73 nucleotides) under Escherichia coli. RNAcentral's name for it is "tRNA-Gly". It matches the Rfam family "tRNA". Rfam says of the family: Transfer RNA (tRNA) molecules are approximately 80 nucleotides in length. Their secondary structure includes four short double-helical elements and three loops (D, anti-codon, and T loops). The record is from RNAcentral. RNAcentral also lists the same sequence under 2 other names. Lineage: Bacteria; Pseudomonadati; Pseudomonadota; Gammaproteobacteria; Enterobacterales; Enterobacteriaceae.